RNAcentral lists this ribosomal RNA (123 nucleotides) under Staphylococcus aureus. RNAcentral's name for it is "partial 23S ribosomal RNA". It matches the Rfam family "Bacterial large subunit ribosomal RNA", at positions 1 to 123 of the family's 2925-position model. The record is from RNAcentral. Lineage: Bacteria; Bacillati; Bacillota; Bacilli; Caryophanales; Staphylococcaceae.
GAUUAAGUUAUUAAGGGCGCACGGUGGAUGCCUUGGCACUAGAAGCCGAUGAAGGACGUUACUAACGACGAUAUGCUUUGGGGAGCUGUAAGUAAGCUUUGAUCCAGAGAUUUCCGAAUGGGG